AUAAUUAAAAUAAAAAGAAUAAGAGAGUUUAAAUGACGGAAUAGGGAAAAGAAAAAGUAUGAUUAAAAUCUCUAGAAGUAUUCCUUAUUGCGUCAUUGUAACAAUGAAGUACUUUCUACGUAAUGAGUAAUGUCGGAUAUUGAACAGAUAAAAUAUUCCUAAUGAAAUGAUACAAAAGGUUAAUAAAGUGAUUGAUUUUAUCGGACGACGAUCUCUUCCGUUCAAAUUUGUAGUCGCGCGCGCACAUAAAAUCCAACAUACAUGACGCGUCAGAUCAUCCGAUUUUACGUCAUCGUUAUUCCUUCUCCAACAGUAAAAGAGCAAGUGAGAGAAAAGAUAGAAAAAAACUAAGAGCGCGGUGUGUUACCGAUGCACGCAUCGACAGUCGAAUGAAGUACGCGAAAGAAGCUUCUUAUACGCGUUUGUCAUUUAUUCUAUUAAUUUAGUUAACGCCGAAUUAAAUCUAAAGAUAGUUAUCUCAUUGAUAACAAAUUUGUCAUCGAUCAAGCAUUAAAUUCCGCCUUGAUUUGCCGAAAAGUGUAGCCCAUCACAUACGCACAUUAAAAACCCAUAAGAUCCUAAAUAGUGAUAUUUUUACAAGUAGUGAUAUUCGUCGCCAGAGUUCGUUGCUGAGUUCGCGGCAAUUUUUGGAAGCACAAAGGACACUUUAUGGGUUUAAAGUUGUUAUUAUAAAAUCAUGUCAAGGAAGCGUUGUAGAGAGGAAACUAUGUUGAACUCUGAAUCGUAUACAAAUAAUCAUAAUGGAGAAAGCACAUCCUCUAGAGAAGAUUCUCCCAUCAAUCCUUCAAUUUGUAAAGAGGCUCCAUUCAGUGAUGAUCCAGAAGCCAUUACUGAAAGAGAUGCAUGUGAUUACAAUACUCAAAUCACAUUGAGGAUGGCACGUAGUGGGAAAGCACCUAGAAGAGUUAGAGUAUAUGCUGAUGGUAUAUAUGAUCUUUUUCAUCAAGGACAUGCUCGACAAUUACUACAAGCUAAAAAUAUAUUCCCAAAUGUUUAUCUCAUUGUUGGAGUUUGCAAUGAUGAAUUAACACAUAGCAAAAAAGGAAGAACUGUGAUGACAGAUGCUGAAAGGUAUGAUGCAGUAAGACAUUGUCGCUAUGUGGAUGAAGUUGUAAAAGAUGCUCCAUGGGAAUUAGAUGAUAAUUUCAUCAAGAAACAUAAAAUCGAUUUUGUAGCUCACGAUGACAUACCUUAUAUGACAGAUGAUGGUUCAGAUGUUUAUGCAGCAUUAAAAGCUAAAGGUAUGUUUGUAGCUACACAAAGGACAGAAGGGGUAUCUACAUCAGAUAUUGUAGCAAGAAUUGUUAAGGAUUAUGAUAUUUAUGUAAGAAGAAAUUUAGCACGAGGUUACAGUGCCAAAGAACUCAAUGUUUCUUUCCUUAACGAAAAGAAAUUUCGGUUACAAAAUAAAUUUGAUGAUCUUAAAGAUAAGGGUAAACGAGUUAUGGAAAAUAUAGGUGAAAAACGUAUGGACAUGAUUAGUAAAUGGGAGGAAAAAUCACGAGACUUCAUUGAUGCAUUUCUUUUAUUAUUCGGAAGGGAAGGAAGAUUGAUGAAUAAUGAUUUUGAAAAGUUACACCUUUGAAGAUCUCUUAUUUCAAUUUCAUUGCAUACCAUUGUGAAUGUGAAAAUAAAAUAAAAUAUUUCAGACAAAAUUUGUCAACAAUUUGGAAUGAAAGUAAAGGACGUUUAAUGCAAGCACUUUCACCUCCAGCAAGUCCAAAAAGAGAUGGCAGUCCAAAUGGUAG
Molecule: unclassified non-coding RNA, 1769 nt
Filed under: Polistes dominula (European paper wasp)
Lineage: Eukaryota; Metazoa; Arthropoda; Insecta; Hymenoptera; Vespidae
Description: choline-phosphate cytidylyltransferase A-like, transcript variant X5
Source: RNAcentral